Long non-coding RNA from Scleropages formosus (Asian bonytongue), 540 nucleotides. RefSeq lists it as uncharacterized. The record is from RefSeq and is a predicted model, not a curated record. The transcript has 3 exons. Lineage: Eukaryota; Metazoa; Chordata; Actinopteri; Osteoglossiformes; Osteoglossidae.
UAGUACGGUAAGAGUGCCCAGCAGUAUAAAUGGGUAAAUAAUUACAGUGAUGGUUGUCUUUCAUAGUAAAAGAAAUUUUUUGACAAAGGUGGCAGGUGGAGUUUUUAUGGCACUUGAAAUAAUCUGAAUGUCAUUUUUGUUUAUUUCAGCCUGUUUACUUCACACACAUGAUUCCAGUGUGUAUUUUAGGCAGCACAGUCAGACUCCCAAACAGUGAGUGUGAGUUCAAGGCAGCUCACUUUGGACCGUGGGGUCACAGCCCCCUCGCCCUCUCUCCCUGUCUCCCCACCGCAGCUGCCCCCCUUUCCAGGCCUGCUGCUUGAUUUAGCUCCAGAUCGCAGUGAAACCACGGUAUAAAGAAUGAUUCGAGGUCCAGCCCAGACGUUGUACCAUCAGGCCUUCGGAAAUCUGUAAUUUCACAGUAGACCUGAUGGGUGUUGUGGUGGUGAGAGCAGCUGCCGUUGGACCUGAACGUCGCAGGUCCCUCAUUUGUCGGCGCGAACGAAGGAAGCGAAUGCGCUGUCCUCGCGCUCCAGCAGC